This 59-nucleotide transfer RNA is filed under the name Marmota marmota marmota (Alpine marmot). It matches the Rfam family "tRNA", at positions 8 to 63 of the family's 71-position model. Rfam says of the family: Transfer RNA (tRNA) molecules are approximately 80 nucleotides in length. Their secondary structure includes four short double-helical elements and three loops (D, anti-codon, and T loops). The record is from Rfam by way of RNAcentral. RNAcentral also lists the same sequence under 3 other names. Lineage: Eukaryota; Metazoa; Chordata; Mammalia; Rodentia; Sciuridae.
UAGCUCAGUUUGGUAGAGUGUUUGCCUUGCAUGCACAAGGCCCUGGGUUCAAUCCCCAG